GCCGGCUGCCGCUUAGAAACCGUUCAACAGUUUCUCACCGUGUCAUCAGACUGAGGGAAAACCCUUAGGAUCCUCACAGGGAGGCAAGAGGAGGUCUAAAGGUCUCCAUCAGUCCUGGUCCCUCUAGACCAGACGAGCCGAAGCAGGUAUGACACCUUCUUUUGUGCAUUUUGCACACUAUCGAUAUUAUGAGUAAAUACCUUGUUAUUAAGCAGUCUCACUAGUAUACUGGUCUAAGGCAGUCUGCACUGGUCUGAGGUAGUAUACUGGUCUAAGGAAGUCUGCACUGGUCUGAGGCAGUCUACACUGGUCUGAGCUAGUGUACUGGUCUAAGGCAGUCUGCACUGGUCUGAGCUAGUGUACUGGUCUGAGGCAGUCUACACUGGUCUGAGCUAGUGUACUGGUCUAAGGCAGUCUGCACUGGUCUGAGCUAGUGUACUGGUCUAAGGCAGUCUGCACUGGUCUGAGGCAGUACUGUACUGGUUUAGUCCUUGUGGUGCUGGCUUUUCUUCCUUGGAGGUUUUUGUAGGAGGUGUCUUCACCGUGUCUACGUGGGAUCCCACAGUGACUGAAUUUCCACAUAGAGCUGAACAGAAACCUCCAGUUGGCUGUAGAGUCUCUGGUCCGUCGGGACACAUUGAGAAUCAGAAGGGGGACCCACCCAACCCCCAAGGGAGUCUCGGGUGAGUCCCAGGUGAGUCCUAGGUGAGUGUCAGGUGAGUCCCAGGUGAGUCCUUGGCGGCUCUUCACCUGAAAUCACUCACUCUUCUUCACUCUCACUGAAUGCUGCGUCUGUGCUGCUGACGCUGUGUAAUAUUCUCACAUAAAUGUGAAGAUCUGCCGGUGUUCGUUCCUCUGAGCUCUAAAGACUCGAGGCCUCACGUCUUGUGGGUUUCUUACGUUUUCCAUCGUUUCUGAGGACAUCUGAGCUCUGAGGUUUUUGUGCAAGCCUGUAACACUGUGUUGUUGUUCGGGAAUCCGAUCCGUCUGACUGUCACUCCUAAAGGUAAGAAACACACUUUAUUCUUAGUAGUUCCAUCUACAGCUUGUGUGCAUCAGUUGAGACAAUCAAAUCCGUUGUUUAAAAGCUCAUGAACGAUUUAUUUUAAGCUGUUUUAAAUAUCUGCCUUUUAACUCUGACAUGUGUCAGAGUCAAAAGUUAAGAGUUCAUGUAUACGUGUGAUAUAUAUAUAUAUAUAUAUAUAUAUAUAUAUAUAUAUAUAUAUAUAUAUUAGUGUAUAUAUAUGCAUAUAUAUAUAUAUAUUAGUGUAUAUAUAUGCAUAUAUAUAUAUAUAUACACUAAUAUAUCUAUUAGUGUAUAUAUAUAUAUAUAUAUAUAUAUAUAUAUCUAAUGUGUGUGUGUGUCUAUAAUAAAAUCCCACUCAAAGAACUUUUUCUGUAAAAGUAGUAAUAUAAACAGCUGAAAAGUUAAUAUACAUUUAAAUGAAAGUCAAGUUAAUUUGUUCAACUUUGUGCUGCAUUACUACGAGUAAUAAAUGCUACCUACAGAGAAAGUAUUUAAAUGAGCUGAAGUAAGAGACGGUUAUGAUCUACAAAUAUCUAUUUGACAGAACUGAUGAAAGCAAGUAUAAAGCAAUAUCGCCAUGAUGAUAUAUAUAUAUAUAUAUAUAUAUAUAUAUAUAU
This is a long non-coding RNA of Gasterosteus aculeatus aculeatus (three-spined stickleback), 1644 nucleotides long. The record is from Ensembl. Lineage: Eukaryota; Metazoa; Chordata; Actinopteri; Perciformes; Gasterosteidae.